UUCUGCCGGAGAAGUAGGGGCGGGGGGAAGUUUAGGAGUUGAGGAAAGAAGAUUAAAGAGCGCGAGGAGAACACCUGAUAACUUGCGAGUCUGUUGGUGCCUCAUAGCCACACAGACUGCCUGAAGUUACAUUUAGAGACUGAAAUCACUGCACCUUACAAACAAAAGAUUGAGC
This is a long non-coding RNA of Dipodomys ordii (Ord's kangaroo rat), 175 nucleotides long. RefSeq lists it as uncharacterized. The transcript has 3 exons. The record is from RefSeq and is a predicted model, not a curated record. NCBI's taxonomy places the organism in Eukaryota, Metazoa, Chordata, Mammalia, Rodentia, Heteromyidae.